GAUGAACGAUGGCGGCAUGCUUAACACAUGCCCGCCGGACGGGAAGUGGUGUUUCCAGUGGCGGACGGGUGAGUAACGCGUAAUAACUUGCCCUUGGGAGGGGAACAACUGCUGGAAACGGAUGCUAAUACCCCGUAGGCCGCGGAGGCAACGGAGGCAUCCGCCCGAGGAGGGGCUCGCGUCUGAUUAGCUAGUUGGGGAGGCAACAGCUUACCAAGGCGAUGAUCAGUAGCUGGUCCGAGAGGAGGAUCAGCCACACUGGGACUGAGACACGGCCCAUACUCCUACGCAACGCACCAAUCGGGCAAUCUCCGCAAUGCACGAAGGCCUGACGGAGCAAUGCCGGGUGGAAGUAGAAGGCCUACGGGUCGCGAACUUCUUAACCCGGAGAAGAAGCAGUGUCGGUAUCUCGGGGAUGAUCAUCGGCUAGCGCUGUA
This 437-nucleotide ribosomal RNA is filed under the name uncultured bacterium. Its description in RNAcentral is "partial 16S ribosomal RNA". It matches the Rfam family "Bacterial small subunit ribosomal RNA", at positions 28 to 507 of the family's 1533-position model. The record is from RNAcentral.